This 253-nucleotide ribosomal RNA is filed under the name uncultured bacterium. RNAcentral describes it as "partial 16S ribosomal RNA". It matches the Rfam family "Bacterial small subunit ribosomal RNA", at positions 524 to 776 of the family's 1533-position model. The record is from RNAcentral.
UACAGAGGGUGCAAGCGUUGUUCGGAAUUAUUGGGCGUAAAGCGCGUGUAGGCGGCUUUGCAAGUCGGGUGUGAAAGCCCUCAGCUCAACUGAGGAAGUGCGCCCGAAACUGCAGAGCUUGAGUGCCGGAGAGGGUGGCGGAAUUCCCCAAGUAGAGGUGAAAUUCGUAGAUAUGGGGAGGAACACCGGUGGCGAAGGCGGCCACCUUGACGGUAACUGACGCUGAGACGCGAAAGCGUGGGGAGCAAACAGG